CACACGGCGGGUGCUAACGUCCGUCGUGAAGAGGGAAACAACCCAGACCGCCAGCUAAGGUCCCAAAGUCAUGGUUAAGUGGGAAACGAUGUGGGAAGGCCCAGACAGCCAGGAUGUUGGCUUAGAAGCAGCCAUCAUUUAAAGAAAGCGUAAUAGCUCACUGGUCGAGUCGGCCUGCGCGGAAGAUGUAACGGGGCUAAACCAUGCACCGAAGCUGCGGCAGCGACACUGUGUGUUGUUGGGUAGGGGAGCGUUCUGUAAGCCUGUGAAGGUGGCCUGUGAGGGUUGCUGGAGGUAUCAGAAGUGCGAAUGCUGACAUAAGUAACGAUAAAGCGGGUGAAAAGCCCGCUCGCCGGAAGACCAAGGGUUCCUGUCCAACGUUAAUCGGGGCAGGGUGAGUCGACCCCUAAGGCGAGGCCGAAAGGCGUAGUCGAUGGGAAACGGGUUAAUAUUCCCGUACUUGGUGUUACUGCGAAGGGGGGACGGAGAAGGCUAUGUUGGCCGGGCGACGGUUGUCCCGGUUUAAGCGUGUAGGUGUGUGUUCCAGGUAAAUCCGGUUCACUUUAACACUGAGGCGUGACGACGAGGCACUACGGUGCUGAAGCAACAAAUGCCCUGCUUCCAGGAAAAGCCUCUAAGCAUCAGGUAACAUCAAAUCGUACCCCAAACCGACACAGGUGGUCAGGUAGAGAAUACCAAGGCGCUUGAGAGAACUCGGGUGAAGGAACUAGGCAAAAUGGUGCCGUAACUUCGGGAGAAGGCACGCUGACACGUAGGUGAAGUGAUUUACUCACGGAGCUGAAGUCAGUCGAAGAUACCAGCUGGCUGCAACUGUUUAUUAAAAACACAGCACUGUGCAAACACGAAAGUGGACGUAUACGGUGUGACGCCUGCCCGGUGCCGGAAGGUUAAUUGAUGGGGUCAGCGCAAGCGAAGCUCCUGAUCGAAGCCCCGGUAAACGGCGGCCGUAACUAUAACGGUCCUAAGGUAGCGAAAUUCCUUGUCGGGUAAGUUCCGACCUGCACGAAUGGCGUAAUGAUGGCCAGGCUGUCUCCACCCGAGACUCAGUGAAAUUGAACUCGCUGUGAAGAUGCAGUGUACCCGCGGCAAGACGGAAAGACCCCGUGAACCUUUACUAUAGCUUGACACUGAACAUUGAGCCUUGAUGUGUAGGAUAGGUGGGAGGCUUUGAAGUGUGGACGCCAGUCUGCAUGGAGCCGACCUUGAAAUACCACCCUUUAAUGUUUGAUGUUCUAACGUGGACCCGUGAUCCGGGUUGCGGACAGUGUCUGGUGGGUAGUUUGACUGGGGCGGUCUCCUCCUAAAGAGUAACGGAGGAGCACGAAGGUUGGCUAAUCCUGGUCGGACAUCAGGAGGUUAGUGCAAUGGCAUAAGCCAGCUUGACUGCGAGCGUGACGGCGCGAGCAGGUGCGAAAGCAGGUCAUAGUGAUCCGGUGGUUCUGAAUGGAAGGGCCAUCGCUCAACGGAUAAAAGGUACUCCGGGGAUAACAGGCUGAUACCGCCCAAGAGUUCAUAUCGACGGCGGUGUUUGGCACCUCGAUGUCGGCUCAUCACAUCCUGGGGCUGAAGUAGGUCCCAAGGGUAUGGCUGUUCGCCAUUUAAAGUGGUACGCGAGCUGGGUUUAGAACGUCGUGAGACAGUUCGGUCCCUAUCUGCCGUGGGCGCUGGAGAACUGAGGGGGGCUGCUCCUAGUACGAGAGGACCGGAGUGGACGCAUCACUGGUGUUCGGGUUGUCAUGCCAAUGGCACUGCCCGGUAGCUAAAUGCGGAAGAGAUAAGUGCUGAAAGCAUCUAAGCACGAAACUUGCCCCGAGAUGAGUUCUCCCUGAGACUUAGAGUCUCCUGAAGGAACGUUGAAGACGACGACGUUGAUAGGCCGGGUGUGUAAGCGCAGCGAUGCGUUGAGCUAACCGGUACUAAUGAACCGUGAGGCUUAACCUUAC
This 1964-nucleotide ribosomal RNA is filed under the name Salmonella enterica. RNAcentral's name for it is "partial 23S ribosomal RNA". It matches the Rfam family "Bacterial large subunit ribosomal RNA", at positions 984 to 2925 of the family's 2925-position model. Lineage: Bacteria; Pseudomonadati; Pseudomonadota; Gammaproteobacteria; Enterobacterales; Enterobacteriaceae. The record is from RNAcentral.